GACUUUAAGAAGCAAGAUAGUAGUGUAAAAAUACACAUUCAGAGUUUGGUCAUGGUGAAGGCAGCACAAAUAUCACUGUGGAAAUUAAAUUCUUUUCUCUGCAGAAGGGCAGCACAAACCCAGCAUGCUUACUGAUGUACCGCCAAGUCUCCUAUGGCUGUUCCUUACCUAGUAUCAAAUAUUACCAAGGAUGAGUGAAGCAGUCCACCUAUCCACCUUAUUUGUCAUAAGUGACCUUGAUUUGUUCAAAACUAGCAGGUUUCACCCUUCUUAGGGAGAUGGAGAGGAAUUGUUGUUGGGGCAUUGUGACAGUGCUGGACCUGAGGUCAUGUCAAGUAGAACCGAGUCUACUUUCAGAUGACAAAACUAUUUUAGUCCAUAGAGGACUAUUAGUAGCAACUGGUCUUACAUUUGUUAACCAAGACUUCCAAUUCAAUUCAAAUCAGAAUCUUUCCAGUAUGUAGAUAGCUGGAAGUGAGGGAACAAGAUUUAUCUUUAAGAACAGCUGAACAAGAAAGCUGCAUUUUUUGUGUAUUUUUGUAUACUAAUAAAGGACUAAAUCAACUUAGACAACUUUUGGAGAAUGCAAACAGUGAGGAAGUUUACAAGCAAGAGGUGAGUUACAAUUUUUAUUGAUGUUUUUUUUUGUUAAAAGAACUUAGAAAAAGAAUAAGAAAAUUUCUUCUUUGUUACUUGUUUGUUUCAGUUUUUUGUUAGCUUACUUUGGAAUUGGCAAGGAGGAACUGAUGCUCUCUUUAGCUCAAAAAGCUACCAACUUCACCUUGCUCCACAAUGGUGAAAAGAUAAUAGGGCAAAGUAGCACACAUUUGUAUAUAAGUAGUUUCUUCUGAAAUAACAGGAGAUCCACAAAUGAUUUCUGAGUUUGAGUAGCGGCUGUACUUAAACAUCUGUUAAAAAGCUGUAUGUUUAUUUUGAGUAUUAUCCUUUAAUGUAGAGAGUACCACAUCCAAGCAGUGAGUUUAAUAACUCAUGAAAACUUUAACAGAUGAACUCUAUUAAAUAUAACACCAAAUGUACUGAGAACUGCAUUAUUCCACUUAAAUAUUCAGAUUAAUAAAAAUAUAUAUAAAAUAAAAAUAAUAUGCAAUGUGGACUUACACAAAAUUUGUCAUACCUUUAAAUGCAGUUUGCAGUAUACUGAGUUGUAGUGCAAUCUAAAUGUUGACACUUUCAAUGAUAAAGAAAAUUACAUAUUUUGCUAUUUCUUUGUUUCCCCAUUUCUUAAAAAUGCUGAGUUGUUUUUGAUACAGAAAUGUAUUCAUUUCCAUCUCAAUUCCUUCAUUAUGAGAAUCAGAAAAGGGGUCCAAGUGAAUCAUGUGAAACAAUCAUGCAGAAGUAUCUUGAGGAAUGAGCUGCAUAAUUCCCCUGCUUCAUCAUUUGAACUGCAUGGUCCUGUUUCAAAAUCUAGGACAUUAUAAAUCACAUAUCAGGAAAGGAAAACAGUCUGCAAUGUUCACUUCCCUGGAGCCUUCCAAUAUAUCUUAUGUCAGCAGUAAGGCUUUAAUUGACCAGCAUUUCUAAAGUCAAACAAGAUUGUAAUGUGGUUUCAGUUGCACUCUAGCUUGACUGUUUGUGGGACAUGGUUGCUGCUUUCUGCCAAUUGGCUGGGCAGAGCAAGACCUAUUAAUGGAUGUUGUACAUACAUAUACAUUGUAUAAUGUAUGUAAUGUACAUACAUUAUUCUAGGCAUCUCCACUUUUGCAUGAUUAAGAACUUGUUAUUUAAGCAUACUUGAAAUAUUGUGUUUUUACAUCUAAGAUACUUAAGCAAUUUACAAAUAAUAAAAAAAAAGAUUUUUCAGUGAAUACUGAACUAGACUUCAGGAUAACUGAAAAACAAAAUGGCUGCACUGUAAAAAGUGUGCAUAACAUAACCCUUGCAGGUAAGGAAAAUUACUCCUAAUAUCUCCCUAUUUCCCCUUGCUAAUCGCCCUUCUAAAGACUGAGUUAAAUGUCAUAAUCAUUCCUCUUUCUUCAACUCUGUAUCUUUUUGAAUAAUGUCCUUUCCAUGUCUCCCUAUAAAGCUCUGAGAAUAUGCUCAUGUGUCGGUGAUGGAGCACUCUGUGCAGCCAGCCUUGUGGGAAACCAGGACAGGACAGAGCACCUCUUUUGCACAGGACUGUGAGCCCCCCACGCAUGGGGGACCUGGACUGGCUGCUGUCACAGUUCCACAUAAACUGACGUAGGCUGAGGCAUGGAGGUUUGUUUGGUUUUCUGGGAGGUGUAGAAUUACUGUGUUUAUGUUCCCACUGCUUAUUCCCACUAGCAGCUUGCAAAGACACACUCUGGUUUCCUUCCCAUGGGUGGGAGCUGUGCCACUGCCCAGCUUCUUCUACAGAACUGGAGUUGGUCUGCUAUUGGUGUCUCAGAUGGGAAUGCUUUCUCAUAAUGACUAAACAGAUAAAGAUAGUCAGGAGAAUGUCAGAUUUACUUAGCACUUUCUUUUAUACCUGUGAAAAUGAAAGCACAGUUGUCUUAAAAUUCUGUAAUUUCUGGUGGGGUCCUAAACUAUUAAAAGAUGUGAAAUCUAAAUUUGUCUGAUUCAAAACCUUCAGAUAUUUUUCAUCAGUUGUGUAAUUAAAGAAAAAAAAAACACAAAAAUAACAGGUACAAUACUUGACUAAGUAACAAAAAGUCCCACAUCCUUCUAGUGAAAACAAUCCAUGUCAACAAGUUGACUAUGAGUUGAGUAUGACUGCUGCCAACAACUCAGAAAGUAUUGGUUAGCAGUGUGAAAUACAGCUUCUAAUGUAUUAUUCCAGCUUGGAAAUGAGAAGUCUUAGAGUAAGGAGGGGUCAGAAAUCUCACAGAUGCAUUCAACAAAGGAAGAUGGAACCAGAUAUGUCUCAGAAGUUUACAGCAAAAGGACUAAAACUACCAGUGUCAGAAAGGUAAAUUCCUGUUGGAUAUCAGGUAAGUUAUUCUGGCAGUGGGAAUGGUUACAUGCUGCAAGAGAUUGCUCAGUGGUGUUGUCCCUGGAAAUGCCUGAAACUUGCUUGGACAGCAUGCCAGGAAACUUCAUCCAACUUAUAGCUGGCAUUACUUUGUCCAGGGAAUUAGUCCACAUGACCUUUAGAUGUCUCUUCUAACUUGAACUAUCCCGUGAUUCCAGAAGUCCAACACUCAUCAAUUCCCUUUCUGCUUGUUAUAAAAGACAAUGAAGACACACUGGCUUGGGUCACUAGCCAUCCUUUAGUACCGAAACAUUUGAAGAUCUGUUCAUCAGAGGCGCAAAUGAGAAGUACAAAUAACUGUUUUCUACAAGGUAGUACACAAGGAGUAUCUUGAGAUCAGAUAUAUUUUUUGCCAGCCAACUCCUACAGGUGAUAAUCUGAAGUGCCCUUCAGAUGACAGGAUAUAUCAUGUGCUUUUACUGUACGUAAUGGUCACCUCCUGUGCUACUUUGAGAGUAAUGUCUUUUUUACUGUGUUGUAGGUUAUAUUUCUUAGGUAUAAAAUUCAAACUAUAAUAUUAUCCUUUGGUGUAUUUUAAAAUGUUGUAAUGUAAAAGGCACUUCCUUAACAGAAAUCCACAGGAAGCUCCUAUUUAACCUUUUCCUUUGAAAUUUGGGAGGGAGAAUGAGGAGAAAAAGAAGGAUCAGUAAAAAAAUUGUCAUUUUUGAAGUAGAACUGAGGGAAGAAGAAAGUGAACAGGUUGCUCUCUCUCUUGUGUUUUGCUGUUCACCCUUUUAUCCUCUUCCAUGUCCAUCUAUGUAUUCUUUUAACAAUCUCCCUUGUGUUCUUUGAAGUCAGUGUUUUGUUCAUCCCAAUAUCCUUGCUUUGUUUUCCUAUAAAUAGCAUUUAAUGAGGGUGACUGAUAGCAUGUAAUCAGGUUGUCGGUGAUCAUCACUGCCUUGUUUCAAAUAUUUGGAUAUUUGCACAAAAUUGCCUCUCUUAUACUUUGUAUGAACAUCAUGUUCAUUAAGUCAAGCCUUAUACAACCCAUACCAUAAACCUAUCCAAUUGGGUCCCUAGCCAUAUUUAUAGCCUUCUCUUUUCCCAAGUGACCUCCAGGUUUCAGCAUCUUGCUGCAUAGUGAUCAUCAGUGGAUAGAGUGUUUCUUAGUUGGAUUUUGUGUUAUAAGUACCUUUUAUCUCUGUAAGAGGCCUUCAAAUUGUAAAUUCUCUACAGAAGCACUCUUCCAUUUUAUGGCCAUGUGCAUUUCAUUUAGGAGCAUGUACAAAAAUAAAUAAAUAAUAAUGUUGUAAUAGUAGCAGUUAAGUUUCUCAACAACUUCUAAAUGUAGAUGGAAGAGUCCAUAAAAACAAUGCCAAAAGGUUUGGCAACCUGCUAAAACAAAACUACGGGGCAUUUCAGUUGAUUGCAUUCUCUGCUGGGGAGAAAAUACUGGCAAGCAUGUUUACCACUUAUGAUGAAAAUUGCUUGACAUUUAAGCAGCUAACAGUGAAACAACCUAAGCAGAGCCUACCUAGAGCCAACCUGCAUGAGGUGCCUGUCAGACUUUUCAGGUCUCACCUGGGAUCCGCAUCUAAGAGCACCCAGGGCCAGAGGCUCUUAAAAGCACAAUUGAUGAUUUCCAGGAGCCUUAACUUGGGGGCCCUGAUCACUGGGAAUGCUAUCUUGACCCUCUAAGCCAUGCCAAAGGCUAGUUCCCAGGAGUGACUCUGAGGUGAUUCCACAUGAUUGACUGAAUUCUGUUCUAAUUUGCCACUUACUGACAAGGAAAAAGGUGGCUCUUGAUCUGUUGUUCCAAGGAAAUGUUAAGUUAAAUGUUAAGGACACAAUUUGCCAAAGUUUCCAACAGUUUGGCUUGAGUUCCCUGAGCCUCUUGUCAGCUCAGCACUCAUGAAGGGCUGUUUAUGACAAUACCCUGUACAGUGCCAUAUGCAAGUAAAAUAGUGGCAUGUUCUGUCCUUUCUUUGUGGUUGUUAAGGAUCACACUGUGGCUUUGUGCAGCUCUGCUUCAUCCCAUCUUGCACAAUAUUCCCACUUCUCUGCUUUUAGCACAGGGUAAAUGAGUGUUCAGAAGAAUGCUGCUUUUUUUUUUUUUUUUUUUUUUUUUUUGGUUGGUUGGUUGGUUGGUUGCCUGCUUGCUUGCUUGCUUUUUCUCUCUUUAUUACAAUUGGAAAGCAGAACUAGUGAUGGAUGGAGAAUGAGGAGAAAUUGGUCCUCCUUACCACCAGUAAAUAAGAAUGCUAAUGUCAAUGCAUGUAACUUUAACCUAAAUCUUAGAAGGAGCAUUUUAGGGCAAAAGUGUCAGCUAGAGGAAAACAGAGAUAAAAGUCCCACAUCCUAGCAUUUGUUCCAGAUUCAGGACAAAGCAACAGCAUACCAGUUAAAAGCUGAAAUCAUUGCAAUCUUUCUAGACUUCCACCUGGGCUCCAUGGAUGGUGUGCAGUAUUUCAGGUAUCUCACGCUUUGUGUCCACUGCUGUGUUAAAAUUGUCAAGAGAAGAAAAGAAGAAAGCUCUGGGCUGAAUCAUAAAGCAGUAGUCAUUGGAGAUCAGAAACUUCAAUAUGAAAAGAUGUGCCAGGUUGAAAAGCCAGUGAAAGAGAUCCAGGGUGCAGCGGCAGAGCAGAAAUGGCCAUGAUGGAAUGAAAAUUCAGCAUAUUCUCCCAAAAACCUCAAUACUCCCUGAGCACUCUCAUUGCCACAGUCAGCAUGCACAGGGCAACAGUUCAGAUGUGUGUGGUCAGCAACUGUUUUGUAGACCAAAAAAAAAGCAUCAACUGAAAAUGUUCUACGAAGGAGAACAUUUCUACUCACACAUACAUAAGCUUGUGUGUACACAUGGCAACGUAUGUAGACAUUUACGAACAUGCUUUCCAUAUGGCAAUUAAUACCUUGAAAAUUCCCUGGCAAGACUCCAUGAUUGGAAAAUGGAUUAACAACAUCUCCUCACCCCCUAAGUAAUAAUAGUAAUAAAAGAAAACCUAAAAAACAAGCCACUGUUCAGUAUAAUUCUCUGUAUUUUUUUAAAAUACCAUGACUUUUUUGUGUAUAGCCCAUUAGAAAAGGAGCAUGGAAGAUAAACAGGUCCCUGUAUUGUUGUUUGUUAGUUUAUUUCCCUUGAGUCUUUUAAAAGCCAGAGCCUGAUUUAGCAAUUAGUGUUUGUACUUGCAUGUCUUCUGCAAUUAGCUAAUACAGCAAAUUAGGGAAUAAGAAAUAAACAUUAUUAUGAAAACCAAAUAUUAACAUAAAAUAAAACAUACCUGAUGAAAAAUUGAUGUUGUUGAGUCACUCAGAAAACAUACUUUGCUGUUAAUGACCAACAAUAAUUCCAAAUAUAUGUUAUUGUUUCCUUUAUAAUACAGUUCUCCCUUCAUAAUGCAAAUCCUUAUUAAAACACUUUGUUAAGCCUUGGAAAAGAUAUUACAUGACAGCACUGUUUCAUAAGAAUUUCUUCUAACUUGUAGAAAGAGAAAUGAGAAUUUGAAUGGUUUGUCUCUUAAAACAGCUGCUGAUAAGUGUAUAUUAAAAAAAAAAAAAAAAAAAAGGAAAGGAACAAUUAUUUUACACAGAAUAUUCAAUCAGAUGGUAGAGUUCACUGUGAUCAUCAAACCAGACAGGAUUUUGUAGAGGCACAUAAUGUUAUGUGACAGAGGAUACCAUGUUUGUAAUUACACAGACAUAAUGCUGUUGGCAUCCUCCUGGUUUGCAGAAGUGGAGCUACAAUUGGCAAGAUAUGUUUAUAGAAAGAAGCAUACUACAACAUAACGCCUGAGGCAGGAGGUUGAUUUUAAGAAAGGGUAGUGAGCUGUGAUACAGAAACACAUCCUCAGCAUUAGAACACUUGGAACAGGCUCCAGUCCCAACUGCAGCUGCUUAUUGCAGUUUUUCUAUGACAGCAUUCAUAGCUGCCUGUGAAUAUUCAUUUUCUGCCUUAAUUUUAUUUGCCUAGGCAGCUUAUAACAGCAUGGAGAUUUAUUUACAAACAAGAAGACGCUUUUGGAAUGAAUCACCGAUUGGCAUUUCAGUCUGCACUGAAAUGUUUUUGUUACCAAGAAAAAGGGCAGGCCAAAGCUUCAUAUCUUCUUGAUGUUCCUUUCACCCUUGUCCUCGACCAUGUUCUUAAAGACCUUUCUGCCUGAAGAGUUUUUUUAUACUUUAAGAGGGAAGGGACGAUGCACCAUUAUUUGAGAUGUAUUUAAAGCUGAAAACACUUAAAGGUAACAACAUGGAAAAAUGCAAUCCUUAAAAAGCCAACAAUUAAUGUUACAAGUCUCCAAUCUAUAAGAAUGCUCCAGGAUUUAAGCAAUUGUUUUAUGAAAUUUUAGAAUUCUCUGUCAUCUAGAAAUUCUAGAAAACUCUGGAAUGCCACAAGGAAGUCAAACAACCAGAUUAUUGUAUCCAUAGCAAUCACACUUUUAUUACAAUUCCUCAGAGUCCAUAGUGGGUCUCUUAACGUCCAUGCAUGAGGUGCACUAACACCACCACAUGAUCGCUUGGAGCUCCACAGACAGAAAACAGCCCUAAUGUUAGGUCCCUGAGGAUGACAAGUAUUCCUUUCUUUUCCUGAAGGAACAUUCCUGCUCUAAGUGUGCUUCUCAGACUUCUGGAGUCAUUCAAGGUUCUAGCAUCAUUGAAGUACAGCAAGAAAACUGUUUCAGAGCCUUUUCCAACAGAUCAUGGUCUUAACAGCAUCAGAAAUUCUUCAUAAAAGCACAG
RNAcentral lists this long non-coding RNA (7648 nucleotides) under Gallus gallus (chicken). The record is from RNAcentral. Lineage: Eukaryota; Metazoa; Chordata; Aves; Galliformes; Phasianidae.